This is a small nuclear RNA of Homo sapiens (human), 101 nucleotides long. Lineage: Eukaryota; Metazoa; Chordata; Mammalia; Primates; Hominidae. The record is from Ensembl.
GUGCUUGCUUUGGCAAUACGCAUAAAAAAAUUGAAAUAACAAAGAUUACCAUGACCCCUGCACAAAGGUGACACUCAAAUUCAUAAUGGUACCAUAUUUAU